Prunus mume (Japanese apricot) is the source of this 448-nucleotide non-coding RNA. Lineage: Eukaryota; Viridiplantae; Streptophyta; Magnoliopsida; Rosales; Rosaceae. The record is from RefSeq and is a predicted model, not a curated record.
CCAAAUUUCCUGAAACAAAAUUGAAGUCUGCUUCAGUGACCUGACCUCAAUCUUUGUAUCUCUUUUCUCUUUGGCAUUCCGAAUAGCUCUAGCUCAGCUCAGCUCAGCCUAGCUCAGCUUCUAAUUGUUAUUGGGUUUUACAAAAUUGUGCAGUACUUUGUUCCUUCAAAUUGUUCGAAGAAGUCCAAAAAAUGCAUAAGGGAAGAAACAAAGGGAGACCCUCUACGAGACAAAUGGAUAGGAAGGACCAAAACAUGGACACUGAUAACCAAGAAAUUGCCACCGAGAUCCAAAAAAUGGACAUGAGGAAGAUUUUGAAACAGAUUGAGCUUUUGGGUUCUUCUCAUAUGACAUGGAAGCAAAGGAAGGAGUUGGAGAAUAGGAAAGUGAUUUCUCUAGGUGCGAAGUUCGUUCACUAAUGGAGCGGUUUGUGUAUUGCAUAGUUUUA